CCCCUAGAUGUUCUGGGCCGCACGCGCGCUACACUGAACAGUUCAACAAGUCUUAACCUUGGCCGAUAGGUCUGGGUAUUCUUUGAACGCUGUUCGUGAUUGGGAUAGACCUUUGCAAUUAUGGGUCUUCAACGAGGAAUUCCUAGUAAACGCAAGUCAUCAGCUUGCAUUGAUUACGUCCCUGCCCUUUGUACACACCGCCCGUCGCACCUACCGAUUGAAAGGUCCGGUGAAAUCUCGGGACGGCGGCUUGGUCGCUUGCGUCCGACUGCUGAAACUUGAUUAAACCAUAUCAUUUAGAGGAAGGUGAAGUCGUAACA
This 320-nucleotide ribosomal RNA is filed under the name uncultured eukaryote. RNAcentral describes it as "partial 18S ribosomal RNA". It matches the Rfam family "Eukaryotic small subunit ribosomal RNA", at positions 1470 to 1796 of the family's 1831-position model. The record is from RNAcentral.